CAUAUGCUUGUCUCAAAGAUUAAGCCAUGCAUGUCUAAGUUCACACUGUCUCACGGUGAAACCGCGAAUGGCUCAUUAAAUCAGUCGAGGUUCCUUAGAUGACACGAUCCUACUUGGAUAACUGUGGCAAUUCUAGAGCUAAUACAUGCCUAUGAAGCUCCGACCCUCGUGGAAAGAGCGCUUUUAUUAGUUCAAAACCAAUCGCCGGUCGUCUUCGGGCGGCCGGUGUCCCCAUUGGUGACUCUGGAUAACUUUGUGCUGAUCGCAUGGCCUCCGCGCCGGCGACGCAUCUUUCAAAUGUCUGCCCUAUCAAAUGUCGAUGGUACGUGAUAUGCCUACCAUGUUUGUAACGGGUAACGGGGAAUCAGGGUUCGAUUCCGGAGAGGGAGCAUGAGAAACGGCUACCACAUCCAAGGAAGGCAGCAGGCGCGCAACUUACCCACUCCCGGCACGGGGAGGUAGUGACGAAAAAUAACAAUACGGGACUCUCUACGAGGCUCCGUAAUUGGAAUGAGUACACUUUAAACCCUUUAACGAGUAUCUAUUGGAGGGCAAGUCUGGUGCCAGCAGCCGCGGUAAUUCCAGCUCCAAUAGCGUAUAUUAAAGUUGUUGCAGUUAAAAAGCUCGUAGUUGGAUCUCAGGUGCAGGCGGACGGUCCGGCUCGCGCCGGUUCACUGUCCGUAUUUCCUGCCCUACUGGUCUGCCGGCUCUCUCCCGUGGGUGCUCUUCACUGAGCGUCCCGGGUGGCCGGCGCGUUUACUUUGAAAAAAUUAGAGUGUUCAAAGCAGGCCUCGGCUGCCUGAAUAAUGGUGCAUGGAAUAAUGGAAUAGGACCUCGGUUCUAUUUUGUUGGUUUUCGGAACUGGAGGUAAUGAUUAAAAGGGACAAACGGGGGCAUUCGUAUUGCGGCGUUAGAGGUGAAAUUCUUGGAUCGCCGCAAGACGAGCUACUGCGAAAGCAUUUGUCAAGAAUGUUUUCAUUAAUCAAGAACGAAAG
Molecule: ribosomal RNA, 995 nt
Filed under: Roxaniella sp. B TRO-2019
Lineage: Eukaryota; Metazoa; Mollusca; Gastropoda; Cephalaspidea; Haminoeidae
Description: SSU rRNA
Rfam family: Eukaryotic small subunit ribosomal RNA
Source: RNAcentral